RNAcentral lists this ribosomal RNA (464 nucleotides) under uncultured bacterium. RNAcentral describes it as "partial 16S ribosomal RNA". It matches the Rfam family "Bacterial small subunit ribosomal RNA", at positions 338 to 795 of the family's 1533-position model. The record is from RNAcentral.
CCUACGGGGGGCAGCAGUAGGGAAUAUUCCACAAUGAGCGAAAGCUUGAUGGAGCGACACAGCGUGCACGAUGAAGGUCUUCGGAUUGUAAAGUGCUGUUAUAAGGGAAGAACAUUUGCAAUAGGAAAUGAUUGCAGACUGACGGUACCUUGUCAGAAAGCGAUGGCUAACUAUGUACCAGCAGCCGCGGUAAUACAUAGGUCGCAAGCGUUAUCCGGAUUUAUUGGGCGUAAAGCGUUCGUAGGCGGUUUGUUAAGUCUGGGGUAAAAUCCCGGGGCUCAACCCCGGCGAGCCGUUGAUACUGGCAGACUGGAGUGAGAGAGAGGUAAGCGGAAUGCGAGGUGUAGCGGUGAAAUGCGUAGAUAUAGGGAAGAACACCAAUUGCGAAGGCAGCGUACUGGGGCCAGACUGACGCUGAGGGACGAAAGCGUGGGGAGCGAACAGGAUUAGAUACCCCAGUAGUC